This 494-nucleotide ribosomal RNA is filed under the name uncultured bacterium. Its description in RNAcentral is "partial 16S ribosomal RNA". It matches the Rfam family "Bacterial small subunit ribosomal RNA", at positions 28 to 507 of the family's 1533-position model. The record is from RNAcentral.
GACGAACGCUGGCGGCGUGCUUAACACAUGCAAGUCGAACGGGGAAGCGCCUUCCUUUUUGGUGGGUGUGGAUGAGUGGCGAACGGGUGAGUAACACGUGAGUAACCUGCCCCCUUCUUCGGGAUAACCGCAUGAAAGGGUGGCUAAUACGGGAUAUUCUGGGUCUGUCGCAUGAUUGGUCUGGGAAAGAUAUUGUUUCGGUGGGGGAUGGGCUCGCGGCCUAUCAGCUUGUGGGGUGGGUGAUGGCCUACCAAGGCGGUGACGGGUAGCCGGCCUGAGAGGGUGGACGGUCGCACUGGGACUGAGACACGGCCCAGACUCCUGCGGGAGGCAGCAGUGGGGAAUAUUGCACAGUGGGCGCAAGCCUGAUGCAGCGACGCCGCGGGAGGGAUGGAGGCCUUCGGGUUGUGAACCUCUUUCGCCAGUGAAGCAGGCCUGCCUCGUUUGUGGGUGGGUUGACGGUAGCUGGAUAAGAAGCGCCGGCUAACUACGUG